CCUACGGGUGGCAGCAGUGAGGAAUAUUGGGCAAUGGGCGCUAGCCUGAACCAGCAACGCCGCGUGAAGGAUGACUGCCCUAGGGGUGGUAAACUUCUUUCAUAUGGGCGUAAAGUGCAGUAUUUAUACUGCUUUGCAUGUACCUUAUGUAUAAGGCACGGCUAGCUCCGUGCCAGCAGCCGCGGUAAUACGGAGGAUCCGAGCGUUAUCCGGAUUUAGUGGGUUUAAAGGGAGCGUAGGCGGGUUGUUAAGUCAGUUGUGAAAGUUUGCGGCUCAACCGGAAGAUUGCAGUUGAUACUGGUAUCCUUGAGUACAGUAGAGGUAGGCGGAAUUCGUGGUGUAGCGGUGAAAUGCUUAGAUAUCACGAAGAACUCCGAUUGCGAAGGCAGUCUGCUGGACUGUAACUGACGCUGAUGCUCGAAAGUGUGGGUAGCAAACAGGAUUAGAUACCCCUGUAGUC
Molecule: ribosomal RNA, 460 nt
Filed under: uncultured bacterium
Lineage: Bacteria
Description: partial 16S ribosomal RNA
Rfam family: Bacterial small subunit ribosomal RNA
Source: RNAcentral